AAAAAGCGUGGGGAGCGAACAUGAUUAGAUACCUUGGUAGUCUACGCCGUAAACGAUGAGUGUUAAGUGUCGGAGGGUUUCCGCCAUUCAGUGCUGCAGCAAACGCAUUAAGCACUCCGCCUGGGGAGUACGACCGCAAGGUUGAAACUCAAAGGAAUUGACGGGGGCCCGCACAAGCGGUGGAGCAUGUGGUUUAAUUGGAAGCAACGCGAAGACCCUUACCAGUUCUUGACAUCCUUUGACCACUCUAGAGAUAGAGCUUCCCCUUCGGGGGCAAAGUGACAGGUGGUGCAUGGUUGUCGUCAGCUCGUGUCGUGAGAUGUUGGGUUAAGUCCCGCAACGAGCGCAACCCUUAUUGUUAGUUGCCAUCAUUUAGUUGGGCAUUUUAGCGAGACUGCCGGUGACAAACCGGAGGAAGGUGGGGAUGACGUCAAAUCAUCAUGCCCCUUAUGACCUGGGCUACACACGUGUUCCAAUGGGAAGUACAACGAGUUGCGAAGUCGCGAGGUUAAGCUAAUUUCUUAAAGCUUUUCUCAGUUCGGAUUGUAGGCUGCAAUUCCCUUACAUGAAGCCGGAAUCGUUAGUAUUCGCGGAUCAGCACGCCGCGGGGAAUACGUUCCCGGCCCUU
This 628-nucleotide ribosomal RNA is filed under the name Enterococcus casseliflavus. RNAcentral describes it as "bacterial SSU rRNA". It matches the Rfam family "Bacterial small subunit ribosomal RNA", at positions 754 to 1382 of the family's 1533-position model. Lineage: Bacteria; Bacillati; Bacillota; Bacilli; Lactobacillales; Enterococcaceae. The record is from RNAcentral.